Molecule: long non-coding RNA, 432 nt
Filed under: Setaria viridis
Lineage: Eukaryota; Viridiplantae; Streptophyta; Magnoliopsida; Poales; Poaceae
Description: long non-coding RNA (SVIR_LNC006437)
Source: RNAcentral
AAAUUUGACCCUACACUUGUACCAUAAACUAAAAUUUCAGCACUAUAUAUGUGGAAUAAUUAACGUAAUUAUUGAAGGAUAUAUCUAAUCGUGCAUGCUGAUUUCUGAUGACUUAAGAUACUUGCACCAAGAUAUAGCCGUAUAGCUUGGCAGCCACAUCUCAUCAGUAAAUUUUGAACCACUUGGCUCAUUCGCUGCGGACAAGGGAAAGCUCUUAUUUUACUCUCAUACAGUAACUCGUGGUACAUUCUAUAAAAGGCAUGAUGGCAACGCGCCAACGCACAUAUACACGUUUGCUUUCGUGCGACUUUUACCAUUUGAGGCCAGCCCGGGGAACAUGCAACGAGUAAAACUCGUGCGCCCUGUCGUCGCCUCCUGACGAGCCGGGUAAAAAAAUCGGUCGAACCACUCCCCCCCAAAAAAUAACUGGAG